RNAcentral lists this ribosomal RNA (301 nucleotides) under uncultured bacterium. Its description in RNAcentral is "partial 16S ribosomal RNA". It matches the Rfam family "Bacterial small subunit ribosomal RNA", at positions 509 to 807 of the family's 1533-position model. The record is from RNAcentral.
CAGUAGCCGCGGUAAUACGGAGGAUCCAAGCGUUAUCCGGAAUCAUUGGGUUUAAAGGGUCCGUAGGCGGUUUAGUAAGCCAGUGGUGAAAGCCCAUCGCUCAACGGUGGAACGGCCAUUGAUACUGCUGAACUUGAAUUAUUAGGAAGUAACUAGAAUAUGUAGUGUAGCGGUGAAAUGCUUAGAGAUUACAUGGAAUACCAAUUGCGAAGGCAGGUUACUACUAAUUGAUUGACGCUGACGGACGAAAGCGUGGGGAGCGAACAGGAUUAGAUACCCCUGUAGUCCCUGUCUCUUAUAC